GCUCCAGUGGCCCAGCGGUUAGGGCAUCGCUAUCACACAGCGGGGAUCCCAGGUUCGAACCCUGGCUGGAGCA
Microstroma glucosiphilum is the source of this 73-nucleotide non-coding RNA. Lineage: Eukaryota; Fungi; Basidiomycota; Exobasidiomycetes; Microstromatales; Microstromataceae. The record is from the annotation of a RefSeq genome assembly.